RNAcentral lists this ribosomal RNA (441 nucleotides) under uncultured bacterium. Its description in RNAcentral is "partial 16S ribosomal RNA". It matches the Rfam family "Bacterial small subunit ribosomal RNA", at positions 338 to 795 of the family's 1533-position model. The record is from RNAcentral.
UCUACGGGGUGCAGCAGUGGGGGAUAUUGCACAAUGGGGGAAACCCUGAUGCAGCGACGCCGCGUGAGUGAAGCAGUAUUUCGGUAUGUAAAGCUCUAUCAGCAGGGAAGAAAAAAGACGGUACCUGACUAAGAAGCCCCGGCUAACUACGUGCAAGCAGCCGCGGUAAUACGUAGGGGGCAAGCGUUAUCCGGAUUUACUGGGGGUAAAGGGAGCGGAGACGGCAAUACAAUUCGGAAGUGAAAUAGCCGGGCUCAACCUGGGAACUGCUUUGGAAACUGUAUGGCUAGAGUGCUGGAGAGGUAAGAGGAAGUCGCAGUGUAGCGGUGAAAUGCGGAGAUAGUAGGAGGAACACCAGUGGCGAAGGCGGCUUACUGGACAGUAACUGACGUUGAGGCUCGAAAGCGUGGGGAGCAAACAGGAUUAGAUACCCUUGUAGUC